UUUAACAUUGAUCAUAUCUACAUGCACAUCAAACAAUAGUGCCAGCUUUUUCAUUACAUCAGUCUUCUUCCUGCACUCACUAUUCCGUCUCCCCAAUCCAAGCAUCAAUAUCUAAAUUAACAAAAUCGCACUUGAUUUUGACCUAAAAUAAGACACAUCAAAACGUUUUUUCGACAAGCGAUGUUGUACAUUUUGAUUGACCAUUUCAUACCUAUGCGUUUUUAUGUACAAAAAAAUUAGAUCCUAGGAAGAAUAGCAUACAUCAAGAGUGUCGACACGUGUUCAUCAUCCAUUUAUUUUGUUCUCCUUUGUACUCCUCUCAGAAAUAUGUGCUAUUGUUUUCUGCAACACAAAAUUACCAAUUUUAAUCACAACAUGAAAGCAGCACAAACUUAUAAUGGGUACCUGCUACAUUGUCUCACACCAUCAUCAUUCCCAUCCUCUUGGUCUUCAGUCUUCCUCCGAAAACACUUCCUAUCCUUAAGAGGAUGCACUUGGCGAGCUUACCUUCUGGUUGUCAGUCUCAUCAUCAUCAUCGGCCAAAAAACUUGGAAGUGCUUCGUUUCUUCACAAGCUUUGACUUCUCCCUUUCGUAUUUCUGGUAAUUCUGCGACAAAGGAAAGCAUAGCAAUAAAUCAUCAAAGGCAAAGUUAUAACACUGUUUGUAACACACCGGAUUGCUCAACAGAUGUGGUGCAUCAAAUCGUGUGCCCUUGCGGGGUACCUUGGCGUAUACAACGGGGCGUAAAAUUUUAGUACCACGAGCUCAAUUGUGUCAAAUACAAUUUGUGUACUUCACUACGGAGUAAAUGUCAAUUCCCAUGAAUCACGAUUGGUCGGUCGAGAAACUGGAUUGCAUGACAAUUCAGUUCAGUUAAACGUUCUCACUUAAAAUGAGUGUGUUGCUAGAAAAAUGCGAGGAAGCCCUCGAACUGAAAAGGCAAAGAAUGCAUUCAAGCUUACCUUCUGAUUAGAGCAUCCGAUUAAUUUCUGCAGUAAGUGUUCCUUAUUAGUACUUAGUAGUCAUAGGCCUGAAAAAACUUCUUCAUUAGUCACCAUGAAUCUACAGCUUAAUUAAUUGCAUAUGCUCUAAAUAUGAGAUUAGUUCAAUAUGAAUUGUAUAUUUAGCAAAGAAAGAAAGCAUGUUCGAAAAUUUAACAACAGG
Molecule: long non-coding RNA, 1165 nt
Filed under: Triticum aestivum (bread wheat)
Lineage: Eukaryota; Viridiplantae; Streptophyta; Magnoliopsida; Poales; Poaceae
Description: long non-coding RNA (TAES_LNC013254)
Source: RNAcentral